CAUAUUGAAACACCCGCUCUCGUACGAUCACCGAAGUUAAGCAACGUUUAGUUUGGUCAGUACCUAGCUGGGUAACCGCUUGGGAAUGUCUGGUGUUGUAA
This 101-nucleotide ribosomal RNA is filed under the name Acanthosepion pharaonis. Lineage: Eukaryota; Metazoa; Mollusca; Cephalopoda; Sepiida; Sepiidae. The record is from RNAcentral.